This is a long non-coding RNA of Macaca fascicularis (crab-eating macaque), 1963 nucleotides long. Lineage: Eukaryota; Metazoa; Chordata; Mammalia; Primates; Cercopithecidae. The record is from Ensembl.
CUUUUUUUUUUCUUUUUCCUUUUCUUUUUUUUUUUUGAGACGGAGUCUCUCUUUGUUGCCAGGCUGGAGUGCAGUGGUACGAUCCUGGCUCACUGCAACCUCUGACUCCCCAGUUCAAGUGAUUCUCCUGCCUCAGCCACCUGAGUAGCUAGGAUUACAGGCAUGCGCCACCACGUCCAGCUGAUUUUUGUAUUUUUAGUAGACCCGGAGUUUCACCAUGUUGGCCAGGAUGGUCUCGAUCUCCUUAAAUCGUGAUUGGUCCGCCUCGGCCUCCCAAAGUGCUGGGAUUACAGGUGUGAGCCACCGCUCCCGGCCUACAUUUUCAAACAGCAAUAGCAUUCGCCUCCUCUGUCAGUUUAACCCACAUCACAACUCCCACUUUUGGCACCUAAACAGUUAAUUUCCCAGUUUAUGGGCCUUCAAAGUCCUGCUCUAGUCUCUGGAGGAACUUUCGCCUACAGAGGAAGGUGUAAGGGAAACUAGUUCAUGGAUUUAGGUAGAAACAUUUGCGGUGUAGCUUUCACAUAAAGAGGAAUGAGAAAAAAAAACUGAUUCAUGGAUUUAGAUGGAAACAUUGUAGUAUGAACCCGACAGAGGGUCUAGCACCGCCAUCUGGUGGUGAGAAUUAGAACUGCAGCACUUUCUGCAAUGUGCCCUGGCCAGAAAGCUCUACCUUCCCAUAGGACCCACUUCUAACCCUAGAAUGGGAGAACUGAUGGAGGUGUCAAGCCACUGUGGUCCCACAGCUGCAUGCAGGAACAGGGGAUAGGAAGAGAGCUACCUACAGGUUACUAAACCAUUCCCUUGUGAAACAGCACCAGGUUUAUCUCUACUCUGUGCUAUCAUUUUCUAGGUUUUAAGUAGAAGAUACGUGAGUACCCAGUGGGCUGUCCAGGCUGUCUCUGCUACAAGUCUGUGAUGUCUCCGUCCAGUGGCAGAGCUGGAAGGCAGAUGCUGUCGGGGCUGCAUCUGCUUUGUUCACCAGCAUAGGCCUAAAACCAUGGAGGAGGUGCUUCGGCUUAGAUCCGCACUUGGCCUGUGUGUGCAAGAGGCUCUCAGGCACCUUUGGUUGGUUUCCAACCAAACCUCCUGAUGAUUCUUUCAGGUUCUCCGAUCCAGGUAGAUUCACUUCUGUAGAUUUAUUUAUUUACUUAUUUAUUUUUGAGACAGGGUCUGGCUCUGUCUCCCAGGCUGGAGUACAGUGAUGAAAUCUCGGCUCACUGCAGCCUUGACCUCAACUUCAAGUGAUUCUCCAACCUCAGCCUCCCAGUAUCAGGGACCACAGGUGUGCACCAUCACACCUGGCUAAUUUUUGUACUUUUUGUAGAGACGGGGUCUCACCAUGUUAUCCAGCUGGUCUCAAACUCCUAGGCUCAAGCAAUCCACCAACUUUGGCCUCUGAAGUGCUGGGAUUCCAGGUGUGAACCACCACGCCCAGACCCUGACUUCUGUAGAAGUUUGUAUUGUUUACAUCUACUGUAUGCAAUGUACAAGAUGCAGUCAGGUGUCUGGAUGCACCGGGGGUUCUGGCAUCUUAUAGACUUGGGUUUGAACCCCAACUGAGCCAUUGACUGGCUGGGUGACUUUGGGUGAGUUCCUAGACCUCUCUGAUCCUUAAGAUGGUAACAGUAUCACCAGUGAAGUUGGUGCACACAGCAGGGCCCACACUGACAUCUCACAGCACCCAGCAGGUCACUGUGGGCAUGAUACGAUGAUGGUUCACUGUGCCAGCCCUGAAGGAGUUCAAGUCCAGAGAGGAGAAGGUGGUGGGCCCAGACAGAGAUUCUGAGUCGCUACUGAGACUGGGUGAGGGUAGUGGGUGCAUGGGAGGACAUACCGCCUGGCAGCCCAGGGCUGGAGUCCACACUCAGGAUGGGGCAGCCUGGUCUGCCUCUCCUGCAGGAGGCUUCCAGGCAGGCUUGUCCCUCAAGAAUGCACGAAUCAAGUCCUCUCAGGACCAAUC